This 274-nucleotide ribosomal RNA is filed under the name uncultured bacterium. RNAcentral's name for it is "partial 16S ribosomal RNA". It matches the Rfam family "Archaeal small subunit ribosomal RNA", at positions 473 to 747 of the family's 1478-position model. The record is from RNAcentral.
AAACCAGCACCUCAAGUGGUCAGGAGGAUUAUUGGGCCUAAAGCAUCCGUAGCCUGUUCUAUAAGUUUCCGGUUAAAUCCACUAGCUCAACUAGUGGGCUGCCGAAAUUACUGUAGAACUAGGGAGUGGGAGAGGUAGACGGUAUUCGGUAGGAAGGGGUAAAAUCCUUUGAUCUAUUGAGGACCACCUGUGGCGAAGGCGGUCUACCAGAACACGUUCGACGGUGAGGGAUGAAAGCUGGGGGAGCAAACCGGAUUAGAAACCCCGGUAGUCC